This 87-nucleotide transfer RNA is filed under the name human skin metagenome. It matches the Rfam family "tRNA". From Rfam's summary of the family: Transfer RNA (tRNA) molecules are approximately 80 nucleotides in length. The record is from RNAcentral.
GCCGACAUGGUGAAAUUGGUAGACACGCCAUCUUGAGGGGGUGGUGAUCGUAAGGUCAUGCGAGUUCGAGCCUCGCUGUCGGCACCA